Molecule: ribosomal RNA, 803 nt
Filed under: uncultured Gammaproteobacteria bacterium
Lineage: Bacteria; Pseudomonadati; Pseudomonadota; Gammaproteobacteria
Description: bacterial SSU rRNA
Rfam family: Bacterial small subunit ribosomal RNA
Source: RNAcentral
GGCGGCAGGCUUAACACAUGCAAGUCGAGCGGAGAUGAGGUGCUUGCACCUUAUCUUAGCGGCGGACGGGUGAGUAAUGCUUAGGAAUCUGCCUAUUAGUGGGGGACAACAUUCCGAAAGGAAUGCUAAUACCGCAUACGUCCUACGGGAGAAAGCAGGGGAUCUUCGGACCUUGCGCUAAUAGAUGAGCCUAAGUCGGAUUAGCUAGUUGGUGGGGUAAAGGCCUACCAAGGCGACGAUCUGUAGCGGGUCUGANAGGAUGAUCCGCCACACUGGGACUGAGACACGGCCCAGACUCCUACGGGAGGCAGCAGUGGGGAAUAUUGGACAAUGGGGGGAACCCUGAUCCAGCCAUGCCGCGUGUGUGAAGAAGGCCUUAUGGUUGUAAAGCACUUUAAGCGAGGAGGAGGCUACUGAGACUAAUACUCUUGGAUAGUGGACGUUACUCGCAGAAUAAGCACCGGCUAACUCUGUGCCAGCAGCCGCGGUAAUACAGAGGGUGCGAGCGUUAAUCGGAUUUACUGGGCGUAAAGCGUGCGUAGGCGGCUUUUUAAGUCGGAUGUGAAAUCCCCGAGCUUAACUUGGGAAUUGCAUUCGAUACUGGGAAGCUAGAGUAUGGGAGAGGAUGGUAGAAUUCCAGGUGUAGCGGUGAAAUGCGUAGAGAUCUGGAGGAAUACCGAUGGCGAAGGCAGCCAUCUGGCCUAAUACUGACGCUGAGGUACGAAAGCAUGGGGAGCAAACAGGAUUAGAUACCCUGGUAGUCCAUGCCGUAAACGAUGUCUACUAGCCGUUGGGGCCUUUGA